This 570-nucleotide ribosomal RNA is filed under the name Solea senegalensis (Senegalese sole). RNAcentral's name for it is "partial 16S large subunit ribosomal RNA". It matches the Rfam family "Bacterial large subunit ribosomal RNA", at positions 1840 to 2593 of the family's 2925-position model. The record is from RNAcentral. Lineage: Eukaryota; Metazoa; Chordata; Actinopteri; Pleuronectiformes; Soleidae.
UAAGAAUAAGAGGUCCUGCCUGCCCAGUGACGCAAGUUUAACGGCCGCGGUAUUUUGACCGUGCUAAGGUAGCGCAAUCACUUGUCUUUUAAAUGAAGACCCGUAUGAAUGGCAAAACGAGGGCUUAACUGUCUCCUCUAUCCAGUCAAUGAAAUUGAUCUCCCCGUGCAGAAGCGGGGAUAUAACCAUAAGACGAGAAGACCCUAUGGAGCUUCAGACAACAAUACAGCCCACCCCCCUAGAUUCCAAAUAAACGAACACACUUAGUGGCCCCUGUAUUAAUGUCUUCGGUUGGGGCGACCGCGGGGAAAUACAAAACCCCCAUGUGGAAUAAGAGCACUAAAACCCCUCAGUCCAUGCUCUUAAAAGCUAGAGGGACACCUCUGACUAACAGAACUUCUGACCUUAAAUGAUCCGGCUUGCCGAUCAACGAACCAAGUUACCCUAGGGAUAACAGCGCAAUCCUCUUUUAGAGCCCAUAUCGACAAGAGGGUUUACGACCUCGAUGUUGGAUCAGGACAUCCUAAUGGCGCAGCAGCUAUUAAGGGUUCGUUUGUUCAACGAUUAAAG